GUAACACGUGGAUAACCUGCCUCAAGGCUGGGGAUAACAUUUGGAAACAGAUGCUAAUACCGAAUAAAACUUAGUAUCGCAUGAUAUAAAGUUAAAAGGCGCUACGGCGUCACCUAGAGAUGGAUCCGCGGUGCAUUAGUUAGUUGGUGGGGUAAAGGCUUACCAAGACAAUGAUGCAUAGCCGAGUUGAGAGACUGAUCGGCCACAUUGGGACUGAGACACGGCCCAAACUCCUACGGGAGGCUGCAGUAGGGAAUCUUCCACAAUGGGCGCAAGCCUGAUGGAGCAACGCCGCGUGUGUGAUGAAGGCUUUCGGGUCGUAAAGCACUGUUGUAUGGGAAGAAAUACUAAAAUAGGGAAUGAUUUUAGUUUGACGGUACCAUACCAGAAAGGGACGGCUAAAUACGUGCCAGCAGCCGCGGUAAUACGUAUGUCCCGAGCGUUAUCCGGAUUUAUUGGGCGUAAAGCGAGCGCAGACGGUUGAUUAAGUCUGAUGUGAAAGCCCGGAGCUCAACUCCGGAAUGGCAUUGGAAACUGGUUAACUUGAGUGUUGUAGAGGUAAGUGGAACUCCAUGUGUAGCGGUGGAAUGCGUAGAUAUAUGGAAGAACACCAGUGGCGAAGGCGGCUUACUGGACAACAACUGACGUUGAGGCUCGAAAGUGUGGGUAGCAAACAGGAUUAGAUACCCUGGUAGUCCACACCGUAAACGAUGAAUACUAGGUGUUAGGAGGUUUCCGCCUCUUAGUGCCGAAGCUAACGCAUUAAGUAUUCCGCCUGGGGAGUACGACCGCAAGGUUGAAACUCAAAGGAAUUGACGGGGACCCCGCACAAGCGGUGGGAGCAUGUGGUUUAAUUU
Molecule: ribosomal RNA, 857 nt
Filed under: Leuconostoc mesenteroides
Lineage: Bacteria; Bacillati; Bacillota; Bacilli; Lactobacillales; Lactobacillaceae
Description: bacterial SSU rRNA
Rfam family: Bacterial small subunit ribosomal RNA
Source: RNAcentral